Molecule: ribosomal RNA, 406 nt
Filed under: uncultured bacterium
Lineage: Bacteria
Description: partial 16S ribosomal RNA
Rfam family: Bacterial small subunit ribosomal RNA
Source: RNAcentral
AUUGAACGCUGGCGGCAGGCUUAACACAUGCAAGUCGAGCGAGCGGCGGACGGGUGAGUAAUGUCUGGGAAACUGCCUGAUGGAGGGGGAUAACUACUGGAAACGGUAGCUAAUACCGCAUACCAUCAGAUGUGCCCAGAUGGGAUUAGCUAGUAGGUGGGGUAAUGGCUCACAUAGGCGACGAUCCCUAGCGGGUCUGAGAGGAUGACCAGCCCAACGGGAACUGGGCAACGGCCCGGACUCCUACGGGAGGCAGCAGUGGGGAAUAUGGGACAAUGGGCGCAAGCCUGAUGCAGCCAUGCCGCGGGUGUGAAGAAGGCCUUCGGGUUGUAAAGCACUUUAAGCGAGGAGGCGUUACUCGCAGAAGAAGCACCGGCUAACUCCGUGCCAGCAGCCGCGGUAAUUC